Nematostella vectensis (starlet sea anemone) is the source of this 2925-nucleotide long non-coding RNA. RefSeq lists it as uncharacterized. Lineage: Eukaryota; Metazoa; Cnidaria; Anthozoa; Actiniaria; Edwardsiidae. The record is from RefSeq and is a predicted model, not a curated record. The transcript is spliced from 3 exons.
UCGUCCUGUCAGGCAAGAUAAAACUCUCCUUUAAGUCGGUUGAUUCUUUAAGAGCCCUUGUCAGCCAAACCUUUGUUAUUGCUUUCGUUGCACAUAUUGUGAUAAAAUCUCGAAAUAACCAUGUAAACACACAAAGUUUAUUACUUUAUUCAUCAAAUUCAAUCGAAAAUAAGCAUUGGCUUCCUCAAAUCAGCCGAUAAAAAUGCUUUUUCUCACUUGCUACUUUGCUAUGAUGACAAAAUGGCGGCUGACAGAGUCUGUUUAAGGUUUUGAUCCUGAUUUCGGUGACAGUGCUGAAUAACGUAUGCGCAUGCGCGGAAUCUGAUGCAAACAAACAACUUUUCGCUGCACACGCGGUUCUAGAAGUGCGACAAACAGUACCGGUUUACAGCGUGCCAAUUCUGCAUUAUUUUUGCUAAACUAGACUUUUUUGUGCGACCUGCAUCUUGAGUUUUGACUUUUUAACUUAUUGUCUACAAAUAAUAAAAUAUUAUUCAACUGGCGGGAGAUUUCUGGACCAGGGAAACGACCUCCUUGCUUUCGAUGGAACGAAAGUUUGUCGCUGUACUUUUCAUAGAUGACCAUGUUCUGAAAUGGCAACAAACGAGAACAGGUUUUGACAUCGCACCGAAGGUUAGGAUAGGUUCAAGUCCAGAGGUCUGUCUUUCAAGAUUAUACCCUAGAGGAAAACACUUGGUGUCAACAGUGCAGUUGAAGGUAGGGAGAAAGUAUUGCUGGUAUCCCCUGGCAUUUCCAUUCUGGCAGUAUUCUCUAGGAAGCUGAAAGGAAAUAGUAAUAUAGUUAGCCUUGAAUGCUUUGCACUGUGACGUUUAACCAACUGCAAUGCUAAUAAAACAAGACAACAACAUCGUAUGAAGCCUUAGCAUAAGUUGGAUAUUAUAUGUUUGACGGUAUACUCACAGCAGUGACUUUAGUGAUGUUUUUAGUGACUUCACUGAAUGUCUUGAGGAGUAACUCUUCUGUUUUUCCUGCCAUCAGCCAGUAGUCCUGUUUGCUUGACCCUCUGUGGUAUAAGCCUCCAAAUGCUCCGUAAAAGUUUGCCAUAAAUCCCCUGGUGGCAAUGGUCUUGGCAACCUUCUCAAUACUCUUGGCAUCAAAGUGACUGUAUGUCUUGGCCCUUAGAAUGGAAUGCCAAAUCUCAACUUUUUUUUCAACCAGGAGGUAAAGCCAGGAUUCUUUCAGAUGCCAAUAUGCAGGGAGGUUGUUUUUCUGGUAGUCACAAUCACGUAGAUACAAAAGGGAGACAAAUUCAGGUGAUUUACAUAGACUAAACUUUUGAAGAAGUUUGUCUCUGAUCAUUGCCCAGCCCAUAAGUGCAGCAGUGACAAGAAUGGAGGACUGGUAGACUUGGCUUCUUAGGAAGAUCGCCUUCAAACAGAUGAGAAUAAAGCUUUGCAAAGAAGUGAUUGAAGAUAAAAGUCACAUCUUGGACAGCCUUUAGGUGGACAUGGAACUGGCCUUGCUCCGGAAUGAAGUUCAGGUAGUGGACGUCACUAUGACGUGCGUUUGCAAUCAGUUUCUUUGGGUAAUACCAUCCUGGCCAAUCAGCAGGGAAUGGGAUAAGAUACUUGGAGAGGUAAGAUCUCAGAGAUGGGUAUUUUUGGAGUACAUAGUCAAGGGAUUCCUUGUAUUUUUUCAUACUUUUGAGAUCUUGCUCUCGCUCCUCCAGUAAUUCACAUGUCUUAAGGCUUUCCAAGUCUGUGUUGUUAGGUUGGCUGUAUACCCUGAGUAUGAAUAAAUGAAAAUACUCUUUAUAAUUAAAAUUAAGACCACUUUGUUAGGCUAAGUACAGUACAGUUGCUUUUUUUAAUAUAAAUGUUUCUUUACAAUAUCUUUUAUCCCAAAAAGUGAACAUUUGAAUAUUCUGUAGGCUACCCAUGCGUUGCAAAAUUACCUAAAAUCCUGUGCAAAACUCUGAAUGGUUCCUGGGUUGAAAUCUCUCAUUGUUGCUGGUAGCUGGUCGAUGAAGUGAUUUCUAAUUUGUUGUAGGCCAUGCAGAAUGUACACAUUAACAGUGUUGUUGUCGGCACCUCCAAGGCACAGAGUUUGUACACCUUUGAUGUUCACAAAAACUGGCCGAUGUGGGCUCACACCAUUUGCAUUUGGGGCUGCUAUAUUCCUGUGAACAUCUAUCAUUGAAGUUGCCAUGUGUGCCACCUUGGUCUUCCUAAGUGCUGUUCUAUUUGAAGAGACUCUUGCAUCCUCACGAGUGAUGGCGGACAGAACCUGGUCAAACAGUCCAGGUGCAUGCUUAUUAGCAAAGCUUUUCAUAGCCACAGGAUCAUAGAGGGGGUCAUCGCAGCUGCUAUUAUAGUAUCUAGACAUAGCUUGCUGACACUUAGCGACUGAUUCUUGGAAAGAAAGGCCUAUAGACACAAUUGUAUAUGUGAAGAAUUAGUUAGUGUGUAAAAAGCUAUUAUUUUAAGCAUUAUUUUGAUUACUUAUAAUGAAAUGUUUGUUUGUUUUCUGUGUGUAUCACUUACAUACCUGAUGAAGAAAUAUCUUUUAUUUCUUGAGAUAAACCUGGUAGGAUGCUACUCUGGUUCAAACCCUAAAAUAUUGUUUUAGAAACAUUUCACUUGGUAUGAAUCUCAAUGUGAUAAACCCAGGACACCCUUCUUGCUAAAAUUUUAGGUUUGUGCCCCCUACAAAAAUCGUGCAUCUAAGGUCUUGCUGAUAAAAUUAUUAUUGAGUAGGGCCUUUAUUACCCUGUGAAACAAAUUUGAACAAUGCUUAUUUUUAAUAUUGAAUUUCUUUGUUCAAUUUUGAUCACCUUACUUCCGUUUCAUGGGUUCUGUAAACCACACAAAAUAAUCUUACCUGGUUGCCAUCAAUACUUGUUAGGGGUAGUCUGUUCUCAGUGUGUUUGCUUUUUGGUCUCUGUAAAGUAUAAAAAAAAAAUAA